RNAcentral lists this ribosomal RNA (142 nucleotides) under uncultured bacterium. Its description in RNAcentral is "partial 16S rRNA". It matches the Rfam family "Bacterial small subunit ribosomal RNA", at positions 355 to 511 of the family's 1533-position model. The record is from RNAcentral.
UGGGGAAUUUUUCCGCAAUGGGCGAAAGCCUGACGGAGCAAUGCCGCGUGGAGGUGGAAGGCCUACGGGUCGUCAACUUCUUUUCUCGGAGAAGAAACAAUGACGGUAUCUGAGGAAUAAGCAUCGGCUAACUCUGUCCCAG